CAGCAGCCGCGGUAAUACGGAGGGUGCAAGCGUUAUCCGGAUUUAUUGGGUUUAAAGGGUCCGUAGGCGGACUUAUAAGUCAGUGGUGAAAGCCUGUCGCUUAACGAUAGAACUGCCAUUGAUACUGUAAGUCUUGAGUAUAUUUGAGGUAGCUGGAAUAAGUAGUGUAGCGGUGAAAUGCAUAGAUAUUACUUAGAACACCAAUUGCGAAGGCAGGUUACCAAGAUAUAACUGACGCUGAGGGACGAAAGCGUGGGUAGCGAACAGGAUUAGAGACCCCGGUAGUCCCUGUCUCUUAUAC
Molecule: ribosomal RNA, 301 nt
Filed under: uncultured bacterium
Lineage: Bacteria
Description: partial 16S ribosomal RNA
Rfam family: Bacterial small subunit ribosomal RNA
Source: RNAcentral